Non-coding RNA from Podarcis muralis (Common wall lizard), 251 nucleotides. Lineage: Eukaryota; Metazoa; Chordata; Lepidosauria; Squamata; Lacertidae. The record is from RefSeq and is a predicted model, not a curated record.
UUCCUCGCGAGGCCUUGGAGCAGCCCUUCCGCUCCUCCUGCGCCCUCUUCUCUGCGCCCAAAUGGCGCGUUGACGCGCCAGGUAAGUUGCGCGCUUAUUCACAGGAACUACUGCUUGUCCUUCCCGCCCCCGGAUUUAUUUAUGUGAUCAUCAGGCAUCAUCACAAACUCACUCCUUCACACACAGUUCCGUGCUUCAGGUGAACAAAACAAAAUAGCUUGUGCUGAGAGAAAAGCGACUGCCUGCCAAAU